AUGACAGCGCUGAUAACAAGGCUCCGAAGACAUGCUGGUGAGUCAGGCACGCUGGGCGCUGCCUUUCUGUGCAGCCAGGGCUCCGGCUGCAGCAGCGUCGCAGGAGCAGCCAGUAAAAUUCCACUACUCCCUGGAGCCCGCUGGGAGGCCAGGGAACAGCCGUGGGCUUUUUCCAGCUCCGGUCUAGCCCAGGGCUCUGGGUACCCUCAGGCCCUGCAAAUGAUGCACAAAGCCCACAGAAGUCUCUCUGUAAGUACUGCGUUGAGGCAGUGUCGAAGGUAAAGGCUGGCAAAGUGGACGCGUGCUGAAAGACUGCUGAUUGGUCGACUUCAGUUGGUCGACUUCAGUUGGUCGACUUCAGUUGCUGAUUGGUCGACUAUUUACAAGGUAUCUGAUAUAAGUGGAGGAGGGGUUGAUUGUUGAUUCAGUUACUCAUCACUCACUGUCAUUCCACAGAUAUUUGUCUGACAUCCUUAGGAGAUGAGAUUUUUCUGCGCUGGUGAUUAGCCUCGCUUGUCCUGCUGGGCCCUCUUGAAGGAUUUUAGGGACCACAGCAUCCUGCGAUGUGGGUGUGGUUUUCCCGAUUUCCAGGGAGUCACUUCCGGAGGUCAAGUGGCUGGUGAAAGCCAAGGGCAGGACGGAGCCGGGGCUGAAUGGAGGGGCAGCCCCCGUGCGCUCAGCCUCUCCGUCCUCCCCACUGUGGGCUGCUCCCCGCGGGCUCCGGUGACCUCUGCCCACCUUCGCUCAGAGCCCUGUCGCCUCUCAGAUUCCUGGUGUCCACGUGCCCAUGGCCACCUGUCUCCGGAGGACUUGCAUUUUUAAGCUAUCUGUCACUAAGCAACAGGCAGCGCUCUGAGGACUUUUAGACCUAGCGAACAGGCUUGGCGGCUUGCGGUGAGGCAGGGACCCCAAAGGCCGGAAGACAGCGCGUGCAGGUGGCUCCAAAGCCGCCUACGCACCAGGCCCCGCAUACAGGAAUGGAAAAGGAGUCCCACUUUGGGCUACAGAUUCUAGAAAGCUGCGAAGCGCUGGGGAAAUCCAUUUUGAGUAACACCUUUUAUAGGAAAGGACAGAGAUGGAAGUAGUUAUUCAUGGUGUGAGUUGUGUCGGUGGAGGCGGCAGGUCACUCACUGGAAGCGCGGAUUAAGAGGUGCACAGCUCCCCUCCCGGGGUGGGGGAUGGGGUGGGGGGUGGGGUGGGGGCGGCACUGCUGAUGGAAUCAGGAGUUACUGCCUGAGCCCCUGCAUCUUACAAGUGUAGACACGGGGGCCCAUGGGGCCGG
This 1282-nucleotide long non-coding RNA is filed under the name Oryctolagus cuniculus (rabbit). Its description in RNAcentral is "lncRNA (ENSOCUG00000037508.1)". Lineage: Eukaryota; Metazoa; Chordata; Mammalia; Lagomorpha; Leporidae. The record is from RNAcentral.